This is a long non-coding RNA of Egretta garzetta (little egret), 4724 nucleotides long. RefSeq lists it as uncharacterized. The record is from RefSeq and is a predicted model, not a curated record. Lineage: Eukaryota; Metazoa; Chordata; Aves; Pelecaniformes; Ardeidae. The transcript is spliced from 4 exons.
UGUGUGUUUGGGUUGGUUGGGUUUGUUUGUUUGUUUGUUUGUUUCCCGGAGCUCUCGAGGUAUGCGCAGGCGCGGCACGGCGCCUCUGGAGGCUCGGAAGUGCCUUUUGGUAAGUGAAAGGUGGCGGUGGAAGCGAUAAGAACAACGUUUCUGGGCGAAAUUGGAGGCGCCAGACUGCGCGGUGUGUUCAGCCUGUGGCAACGCGGGGUUCUGGGAGUGAAAGCUUGACUGGAAAUAUGGGGAGAGGCCAUCUGGUUUUGGACCUAAUAUCUAAAAAACCACCAAGGCAGCGCUGAGGGCUCGUUGUCCUUACAAACUCAGAGCCCGGCUCCUGAGGCCAGUGAGGGAGAAACAGCAGUCUGAGGUUUAGGUAGCAGUCACAAGAGAUUAGAUGCUGUUAAGUGUAAUGAAGCAUGAAGAUGACAAGAUAAGUGAACCAGAAGCUUUUCAGCUUGAUCAUAUCCUCUGAUGCAUAAUGGUACAGAUUUCGUAUUCCAGACACAACUGUCACCUUGUGGUUGAAAUCAUACUAGAGGAAUCUAUGGGAAUCUAUGUGAGUAAGUAUAACUGAGAUAGUUCCCUCCACCCCCCCAAUUACCUUCCUACUUUAAAUAUAGAAAGGAAAAUGAGUCCUCCUUAGUUCAGAGAUGAUUAAUUGCACAUGAGGUUUGUGAUGAAAAGUUCUCUCUCAAAUAAACACAGUCAUAAAAGUUGUUCUUCUUUCACAUGUUAGGAGGAAAGACUGCUUCUAGUGACAGAGUACUAGACUAGACUGACACUGGUGUCUUUUAGGACAUUAGUACUUGACUAGUACAUACAGCACUAUGUGUUAGAAUUGUGAGUUGUAUCAUAGCAAAAUAUUUUUGUAUAGUUUUUCUAUUUAAAUGUCUUUAAAACCAUGGGCAGAAUGUUACUUCCCUUGUUGCAUAGUGGUUCCAGCAACUCUGAUACGAACGAUACGCUGGUGGGCUUUUGAAAACCUGAAGAACAAGAAUCCGCCAGGGAGCCUAGGUGGGACUUUACAAAUAAACUUACAAAUUAUUUAACUACUAUUAAAAAAAAUGUAAAAAUAAUUGCUGACUAAAGGUCUCAAUUAAUAAACUGUAUCAGCUUCUAUUAAUUUAGUUCCUCCACUUCAUUACAAAAAGACACUAUUGAUCCAGAAUUUAUUAGUAGUGUUUGAUUAAAGCCAGUGGAGGGCAGACUUGAAUUGGAAACUAUUUUUGCUACUUCAGUUACUUGAACUUAAAAUACCAGAUAGUCCCUCGAGCUCAAACCUGAUGACAGUCUCAUCACUUCUCUACUAUUCUAACUACACUUGUGCUGGAUAAAAGCUUCUUUACAAUUGCUGUUUGACAGAAUGAGUGUUUCACUAUGUUGCAGUAAGAAUAGGAAAUGUUUAAACAAAAUGCUAAUACGAAAGUGGAUAAGUCAGUGUAUUAGCAGAUGUGCGUUACUCCCAGGGGAGAAUCCACACUGCUUAAUAAUUAACCAUGCGUAUCUUAAAAUGUUUUUUAAAAGCUAGUGAAUAUCGUUAUCCCUGUUUUACAGAUGAAGAAACUGAGGAAUAGCGUGGUAACCUCACAAGUUACCCAUCUAGGUGACCUACCAAAAUCCAGAUUUCUGAGACCUAGUCCAGUGCUCAAGCAUAUCUUUUGCAGAAGUAAACUAUGACAUGUCUCACUCUUGCAAACAUUAUGGAAAUGAUUGCUAGCAGCCGAGGAGAGUAUUCUCUUCAAGAAGAUGGGUGGCAAUCAGAUCAGCUGGCCAAAGAUCUGUGUUAAAAAUAGUAUUUUAUUAUUAAAGUUAGGUUGUACUCUUUCCAAGGAACAAAAAGCUUUUCUGUGUAGACCUUUAAAGCCAUUCCAGUCUCAGUACUGGGAAAUGUAUGGUUAAAAAGUCAAUUGGCAUACAGGUGAAGGAUUAAGAUGCUAAUAGACUGUUCCUCCCUUCCCUUCAUCUUUAGUUACAAGGGUUUCAAAUUAUGAGAGAGAAAGCAGGCUUCCUAUUAGCUCGCCAAGCCCACCCUAUUUACUGUACCCGUGGUCAGUGAUAUUCGUGCAAUUAGAGUGACAUAAUUAAAUUCCAUCCUUCACUGGCACUAAGUUGAAUAGCUAAACUCAAUCACUAAUUUUAUUUGAUUAAAUAAAUCUAUUCCAUUUUCUUUAUAUGCUUGGGAGGUCAUUACCCACUAUAACAGCUUUUUAAAUUACAAAAAAACGCUGAACUUUUUAUCUAUAAACCUUAGUGUAAACUGUUCUUGCUGUUUCUAGGGAAGGCUAGAGGCAUGCUGUUACAACUUGCCAUUCCUAAGACUUGUGUAAGGCAUACCACAGAACAUUUGGUGCUGCAUAUCGAAAAAUCCAUUUGUAGAAUGAAGAGCACAUUGCAAAAUGCGUUUUUUCCUUUUUCUUACUGCUAAUUUGCAGUGGACAUUUGUUCAUGGUGGGAACUAGUCAUUGGUUUAUAUGACUCCAGUGAAAAGCACCGCAUUGAAAAUUAUAAAUUAGAAUGUGAGUACGUGGGCUCAGUUUGGACUCAAAUACUGCAUAACCUAUUACUGUGUUACUCAUUUUUGGUAUCUUUCCAGACAAAUAAUGUUAGAAUAGGAGUCAGAAAUAUCUGGCAGGGCUUUAAAGUAAAUUAAAGCAAUGUGGCAGUUAUUCCAAAACUUCUUACUGUAAAUUCAAGCAAUGAAUUUCAGGUUAACCUUCAAAGUAGUAAACCCAGAGACAGGGAUGUGUAGGGAGGGCUUUCAGACAACCUUUACAAUAGCCUGUUACCGACUUUUCAAGUCUAUAUUCAAGGUUUUCUAAGUACUGGGUGAAGGUUUGUAAGAAUAGAUUAGAAAAGAGUCCACUUUGAAUUCCUUUAAGAUCCUUAAUGAUUUCUCCUUCUACUUUGUAAUUUUAUACCUCACAAAGAGCUGACGUCUUCAAAUAGUCAUCACUUCCCAUAACUCACAGAGGCCUGAAAAUGCAAUUAUCUCAAAAGGGAGAUUAAUUUUCUGCAGAAGUGCAGAAGUACAGCAUCCUGGAAGAGCGAGCACAUCCUCCAGCGGGAGCGCAAAGGUGCGGGUUCAUGGGAAGGACAGCAUCCAUCUGCCCCCCCAGAUAAAUCCAAGCCCAUCUUCCCAGCUUAUAGGUGGCUUUUUUUACCUUUUACUCCAUAGUAAAAACCAAAUUUUUCUGCAGUAAAAUUCCCUGUAUGUUAAAACCACAGAUAGAUCCACUCUACAGUCUUGAAGGUUUUUUGACAGACAACUUGUAAGCUAUAAACAUAGAAAUCAUGUAUAAGUAGAAAAAGUGUUGAUAAAGCAAUUAUGUAAAAUAAGGUGUAUCUGAAAAUUAAUGCUAAAAACAUCCUGAAUAUGGGGAAAAAUGAGAGGAGAGUUCCACCACACCAGUUGUCUCUGUUCGAUACAUGGAAUUAUAGGAGAGUUUUACCUUAUUGUUACCCAUAUAACUGAUUACAUCUUUCAGUUAAAACCGUUAACUUUUCUUAAGGGGGAAUAAACCUGAAUUUUUGGGGGCAUGGCAAGUUUUUUCCUGCUGUGAAUUUCAGAGGUUUACAGCUCUACCUCCACGUGACCUUUUCUUACGCUAAUCCCAGGUGGUGUAUAUUCCCUUUUGUUUGUACCCAGCUUUCCCUUUUAUUUGUAAUACGUAGGUGAAGGUGAAAUGUUAAAUUCAUGACUGAAGAGCAGGUAAGAUAUUUACUACCUCAGAAGCACAUCAUUGUAAUGUACAGUUGUGUUUGUUCUGCUGAGCAGGCCCAACGCAAUUAGAGAGGGAGUUGCAGAUAAUGCAAAAUAACUGUCUUAGAACAGUAGCUGUUGCUAUAGGCAGAAUGACCAAAAGCCUUUUGCUGUAUUUCUUUACAUGGAAACAAACAUAUAGAUAUACACCAUCUGAAUAAAGAACAUGACAUUUUUGCACGCCUGUGACAAAAAAAGAGAGCAGUAUAGCAAAGUAUACUUAGUUUUGGAUUAAAAAAAAGAAAGAAAUUUGAAUAUGCCAUGUAUAAAGCUUGUGCAAUCGUAUUUGAUCAAAGUCAGUUACUCUGGUAAUGUACUUUCAGAGAUGGGAGUUUUAAUGAUGACUUCUGCAUCUGUGGAAAUGAAAGCCUGCUGCUGUCAGGUUGCCAGGACCCUUCAAUGUGCGCUUCAUUUUAGUAAAUUAAGCAUGUUUAUACUUACUGUCACAAGCAGCAGAAAAACACCGACAUUGCUUCCAUGUUUAGAAUUUUGUGGAGUCUACUACACCUGUGAGCAGACUCCGCUUAAGUUAUCUGAAACUCCUAAUCGCUUAAUCUCAUUCUUGACAUACUUCAGCCUCCAACAGUCUGCUGCAACUUCUGUUGCGCCUUCUGGAAAUCUCUGUAGCCAUUUCUUUUUCUCCCUAGUUGGCUCCAAGCCAGAAAUGUAUCCAUUUGCACAAAUGCUUCUUAACCUUGUUCACACUGUUUGUUUGUUUUUUUUUUUCAUUUUCCUGCUUUCUGCUUUUUUGAUUGUUGUAUGCUUUCAUAGUAAAUGUAUUACUUGCUGAGUUUUCUGUAUAAUAAAGCAGCAGUUACAAUGCAUUUUCUAAACUAGUGUUUGCUUCACUUUAAGUGCACUGAACAAAAUUAUUUCUCCACAGUCAUUUGAUGGGCAUCUUACUGUAACAUAGGAGUCCUGAACAUCAAUGCAUUUGAUCAGCUUUCUGAUUCGGUCGUAUUCUUCC